Chelonia mydas (Green sea turtle) is the source of this 857-nucleotide long non-coding RNA. RefSeq lists it as uncharacterized. Lineage: Eukaryota; Metazoa; Chordata; Testudines; Cheloniidae. The transcript has 3 exons. The record is from RefSeq and is a predicted model, not a curated record.
GUAUGCAAGAGAGGGGAAGAGUGCAAAGAGCUUUACCUCCCCCUGUCUUGUGUCCCUGCCCACAGACUAAUCAAAGCUGCAGGCUCAGUGUUUUCCUGAGUGGAGAGAAUGAAUGUUCUCUACCACUGCCCCUCAAGACAGGAGGCACCAUUUGUACAGAAGGCAGGAAGGAGUAGAAAGAGUUUCAGUGGCUUGGGGUUACUUUGCUCUUCCCCUUCUUCUGCUCCUGUGACAAAGGGAGGGCUCUUGUGUCUCUCCCCUUCUCUUCAUCCCAGCACUAGGGCCAUCCUUAGGCAUACAAAGUAUACUCAGCUGUAUAGGGCACCCGAAAAUUUGGGGCACCACUGGGACAGCAGGAUGGAUGCAGCAUGACAGGACAGCCGGAUCCCUCAGAUGGGGAGAGGACCUCAAGGCAGGAACAGAUGAGCAUCCUCUCAGCAGGAACUUGACACCCAAUGGAAAGACUAUAUCGAGGAAGCUGUGACAGAACAAUCAAGGGCCUCUGAUGUUGAAAUGGCUCUACCUGAACAAAACAAUGGGCUUGUUACCAGCUGAUUCAUUGAUUUUGAACAACUCUGUUCCCAGAAGCCGACAUGCAGGCAGGGAGGAUGGUGGAGUCUGGAAAUUCCCCAGAGAAAGUUCAUGGGUAGAAAAGGUGGCAGAGGAAUGCUCUCUAAUCACGGAAAAAGAAGGAAGCCAGGCCAAGAAGGUUAGAAGAGUUGCCUGGCCUAAAGGAGUCUGACCACAUCGUGGUCUCAUAGGGUUGGUGAGGGGACAGAGGGGUGAAUUCAUUGUUUUCUGUAGAUCUGUAACUGUCUUGUCCUUUUGAGAAGUAAAGUGUAUGUGUUUAAGAAAUU